Molecule: ribosomal RNA, 469 nt
Filed under: uncultured bacterium
Lineage: Bacteria
Description: partial 16S ribosomal RNA
Rfam family: Bacterial small subunit ribosomal RNA
Source: RNAcentral
GACGAACGCUGGCGGCGUGCUUAACACACGCAAGUCGAACGGUGAAGCGAGUGCUUGCACUCGUGGAUCAGUGGCGAACGGGUGAGUAACACGUGAGUAACCUGCCCAUCACUCUGGGAUAAGCACUGGAAACGGUGUCUAAUACUGGAUACGACCAACCCUUGCAUGGGGUGUUGGUGGAAAGAUUUAUCGGUGAUGGAUGGACUCGCGGCCUAUCAGCUUGUUGGCGGGGUAAUGGCCCACCAAGGCGACGACGGGUAGCCGGCCUGAGAGGGUGACCGGCCACACUGGGACUGAGACACGGCCCAGACUCCUACGGGAGGCAGCAGUGGGGAAUAUUGCACAAUGGGCGAAAGCCUGAUGCAGCGACGCCGCGUGAGGGAUGACGGCCUUCGGGUUGUAAACCUCUUUCAGCAGGGAAGAAGCGAAAGUGACGGUACCUGCAGAAGAAGCACCGGCUAACUACGUG